Molecule: ribosomal RNA, 524 nt
Filed under: uncultured bacterium
Lineage: Bacteria
Description: partial 16S ribosomal RNA
Rfam family: Bacterial small subunit ribosomal RNA
Source: RNAcentral
GACGAACGCUGGCGGCGUGCCUAAUACAUGCAAGUCGAGCGCAGGAAGCUGACGGAGCUCUUCGGAGGGAAGGCAGUGGAAUGAGCGGCGGACGGGUAAGUAACACGUAAGGAACCUGCCUCAAGGAUUGGGAUAACUCCGAGAAAUCGGAGCUAAUACCGGAUAGUUCAACGGACCGCAUGGUCCGCUGAUGAAAUGCGCUUCGGCGUCACCUGUAGAUGGCCUUGCGGUGCAUUAGCUAGUUGGUGAGGUAACGGCCUACCAAGGCGACGAUGCAUAGCCGACCUGAGAGGGUGAUCGGCCACACUGGGACUGAGACACGGCCCAGACUCCUACGGGAGGCAGCAGUAGGGAAUCUUCCACAAUGGACGAAAGUCUGAUGGAGCAACGCCGCGUGAGUGAUGAAGGUUUUCGGAUCGUAAAACUCUGUUGUAAGGGAAGAACACGUACGAGAGGGAAUGCUCGUACCUUGACGGUACCUUACGAGAAAGCCACGGCUAACUACGUGCCAGCCACCGCCGUAA